Molecule: long non-coding RNA, 801 nt
Organism: Nomascus leucogenys (northern white-cheeked gibbon)
Lineage: Eukaryota; Metazoa; Chordata; Mammalia; Primates; Hylobatidae
Exons: 3
Source: RefSeq, a predicted model, not a curated record
CAGGUACUUCACUGAAAUGUAACUACCACAAUGCAUCCUUUCCAUGUGACUAACUUCGCUCAUGGACCAGAAUCACCGUGGCUCUGCCCUGGAGUGGUGCAAAGAGCUCGCAUUCUGUUUGGAAAGGAAAUUAUCUAAAUCCAGUAGAGGCCUCUCAAAUGUGGUUGGAAAAUCUAAGAAGACUUCCCAGAGGCAGCAGCACUAGUGUCAGGGAAAGACUCACAAAUUCCAUUGCUGUAGAACCCAUGUGUUGAAGACCACUACACUGGAAUCUAGUUUCCUAUCCUAAAAUCUACUUCCUGAGUUUGAGUAAGACUUGAACUAGUUUGCAAAUAUCUGUGAUCUUCACCUUGCCUGCCUGCAAAGCCCAUAGGCAAAUUCAGAAGAGACUUCUACUUGUCCAAAGCAACAUGGAGUAAAGUGGGUCAGCUAGAAUUAAAAUAUGCUCCAGCCAAAGGCGACCAUGGGAACCUAUUGAUAAGGCUCUGGGGUCAGAUUCAUCUCUGUUCAGACAACUCUAGCGGUGUGACUCUAAGUAAGUGUUUUUUAACCUAAGUUCUUGCUUCCUCAACUGCAAAUGUAGGAAUGGUAACAUCUUCCUCAAAGUUGUAUGCUGAGGAUAACACAUGAAAGAGAUGCCUGGGCCAUAUAAUUAUUUAAGAAAUGUUCAUUUCUUUCUUGAACUACCACCUACCAACUAUUUGGUCUGAGUUUAUGAAACUGUAAAUUUUGUCUAACAUUUGCCUAACAAAGCAUUAUUACCUUGCUUAAAGAAACACACAGUACCCUCUAAACCAAAAA